Molecule: transfer RNA, 66 nt
Filed under: Trictenotoma davidi
Lineage: Eukaryota; Metazoa; Arthropoda; Insecta; Coleoptera; Trictenotomidae
Description: tRNA-Asp
Source: RNAcentral
AAAAAUUUAGUUAAAUAAUAACAUCAAUUUGUCAAAUUGAAAUAAAUAGAUUUCUAUUAAUUUUUA